This 78-nucleotide ribosomal RNA is filed under the name Caerostris darwini. Lineage: Eukaryota; Metazoa; Arthropoda; Arachnida; Araneae; Araneidae. The record is from RNAcentral.
UUAGAUCACCGAAGUCAAGCAUCAUUGGGCGCGGUCAGUACUUGGGAGGGUGACCACCUGGGAACACCGCGUGCCGUU